UCCGAUAUGGUGUAACGGCUAACAUUGCCGCCUUUCAGCGCCAUAGGCAGCGAUCGCGGCAGCUCGGGGUUCGAUUCCCCGUAUCGGAG
This 89-nucleotide transfer RNA is filed under the name Jaapia argillacea MUCL 33604. RNAcentral's name for it is "tRNA-Glu". It matches the Rfam family "tRNA". Rfam says of the family: Transfer RNA (tRNA) molecules are approximately 80 nucleotides in length. Their secondary structure includes four short double-helical elements and three loops (D, anti-codon, and T loops). The record is from RNAcentral. Lineage: Eukaryota; Fungi; Basidiomycota; Agaricomycetes; Jaapiales; Jaapiaceae.